UUUAUGGAGAGUUUGAUCCUGGCUCAGGAUGAACGCUGGCGGCGUGCCUAAUACAUGCAAGUCGAGCGAACGGAU
This 75-nucleotide ribosomal RNA is filed under the name Staphylococcus aureus. Its description in RNAcentral is "partial 16S ribosomal RNA". It matches the Rfam family "Bacterial small subunit ribosomal RNA", at positions 1 to 75 of the family's 1533-position model. The record is from RNAcentral. Lineage: Bacteria; Bacillati; Bacillota; Bacilli; Caryophanales; Staphylococcaceae.